This 468-nucleotide ribosomal RNA is filed under the name uncultured bacterium. RNAcentral's name for it is "partial 16S ribosomal RNA". It matches the Rfam family "Bacterial small subunit ribosomal RNA", at positions 28 to 507 of the family's 1533-position model. The record is from RNAcentral.
GACGAACGCUGGCGGCGUGCUUAACACAUGCAAGUCGAACGGAAAGGCCCUGCUUUUGUGGGGUGCUCGAGUGGCGAACGGGUGAGUAACACGUGAGUAACCUGCCCUUGACUUUGGGAUAACUUCAGGAAACUGGGGCUAAUACCGGAUAGGAGCUCCUGCCGCAUGGUGGGGGUUGGAAAGUUUCGGCGGUUGGGGAUGGACUCGCGGCUUAUCAGCUUGUUGGUGGGGUAGUGGCUUACCAAGGCUUUGACGGGUAGCCGGCCUGAGAGGGUGACCGGCCACAUUGGGACUGAGAUACGGCCCAGACUCCUACGGGAGGCAGCAGUGGGGAAUAUUGCACAAUGGGCGGAAGCCUGAUGCAGCAACGCCGCGUGCGGGAUGACGGCCUUCGGGUUGUAAACCGCUUUCGCAUGUGACGAAGCGUGAGUGACGGUAAUGGGUAAAGAAGCACCGGCUAACUACGUG